GACGAACGCUGGCGGCGUGCCUAAUACAUGCAAGUCGCACGCGGCACCUUCGGAUGCUUAUCGGCGAACGGCUGAGGAACACGUGGGGGCCUGUCCGGGAGUGGGGGACAACACCGCGAAAUCGGUGCUAAUCCCCCAUACGCACUGAGGAUGAAAGCCGAAAGGCGCACCGGGGUGGCCCUGUUGCCCAUCAGGUGGUGGGUGGGGUGACUGCCUACCAAGCAAAUGACGGGUCGCUGGUCUGUGAGGACGAGAAACCAGACCGGGAAGGGGACACGGCUGAGAAUCCUACGGGAGGGGGCAGAAAGGUAUUUUAGGAAAGGGGCGCAAGUCUAACAGAGCAACGCGGCGGGCAAGACGACGGCCUUCGGGUUGUAAACUGCUUAUGAUAGGGAUGAUAAAGGACAGUACCUGGCGAAUAAGCCCCGGCUAACUCUGUG
Molecule: ribosomal RNA, 440 nt
Filed under: uncultured bacterium
Lineage: Bacteria
Description: partial 16S ribosomal RNA
Rfam family: Bacterial small subunit ribosomal RNA
Source: RNAcentral